GAUGAAGAACGCAGCGAAAUGCGAUAAGUAAUGUGAAUUGCAGAAUUCAGUGAAUCAUCGAAUGUUUGAACGCACAUUGCGCCCUCUGGUAUUCCGGGGGGCAUGCCUGUUCGAGCGUCAUUAUAACCACUCAAGCUCUCGCUUGGUAUUGGAGUUCGCGAUCUCGCGGCUCCUAAAAUCAGUGGCGGUGCCUGUCGGCUCUACGCGUAGUAAUACUCCUCGCGAUUGAGUCCGGUAGGUUUACUUGCCAGCAACCCCCAAUUUUUACAGGUUGACCUCGGAUCAGGUAGGGAUACCCGCUGAACUUAAGCAUAUCAAUAAGCGGAGGA
RNAcentral lists this unclassified non-coding RNA (329 nucleotides) under soil metagenome. RNAcentral describes it as "partial contains 5.8S ribosomal RNA, internal transcribed spacer 2, and large subunit ribosomal RNA". The stretch from base 1 to 120 matches the Rfam family "5.8S ribosomal RNA", at positions 35 to 154 of the family's 154-position model. The record is from RNAcentral.